UGGGGAAUAUUGCACAAUGGGCGCAAGCCUGAUGCAGCCAUGCCGCGUGUAUGAAGAAGGCCUUCGGGUUGUAAAGUACUUUCAGUAGGGAGGAAGGUGUGAGGGUUAAUAGCGUUCACAAUUGACGUUACCUACAGAAGAAGCACCGGCUAACUCCGUGCCAGCAGCCGCGGUAAUACGGAGGGUGCAAGCGUUAAUCGGAAUUACUGGGCGUAAAGCGCACGCAGGCGGUUUGUUAAGUUGGAUGUGAAAUCCCCGGGCUUAACCUGGGAACUGCAUCCAAGACUGGCAAGCUAGAGUCUCGUAGAGGGAGGUAGAAUUCCAGGUGUAGCGGUGAAAUGCGUAGAGAUCUGGAGGAAUACCGGUGGCGAAGGCGGCCUCCUGGACGAAGACUGACGCUCAGGUGCGAAAGCGUGGGGAGCAAACA
This 427-nucleotide ribosomal RNA is filed under the name uncultured Edwardsiella sp. Its description in RNAcentral is "partial 16S ribosomal RNA". It matches the Rfam family "Bacterial small subunit ribosomal RNA", at positions 355 to 774 of the family's 1533-position model. Lineage: Bacteria; Pseudomonadati; Pseudomonadota; Gammaproteobacteria; Enterobacterales; Hafniaceae. The record is from RNAcentral.